This 258-nucleotide long non-coding RNA is filed under the name Homo sapiens (human). Its description in RNAcentral is "non-protein coding lnc-MARVELD2-1:1". The record is from RNAcentral. Lineage: Eukaryota; Metazoa; Chordata; Mammalia; Primates; Hominidae.
GCCAGGCAUGGUGGCAUGUGCCUGUAGUCCCAACUAUUCAGGAGGCUGAGGUGGGAGGAUCGCUUGAGCCCAAGGAGGUCAAGGCUGCAGCUAGCUGUGAUUACACCACUGCACUCCAGCCUGGGCAACAGAGCGAGACCCUGUCUCAAAAAAAAAAAAAAAAAACAAAGUCUUGCUCUGUCGCCCAGACUGGAGUGCAGUGGUGCAAUCACAGCUCGCUGCAGCCUUGACCUCCUUGGGCUCAAGUGAUCCUCCGGC